GCCAACUUGGAGAGUGAUCUCGCCUUCCCUCAGCCCCCUAACUUCUUCAAGACCCUGCAUUGAAGUGCACAAAUGAGCACUUGAACCAGAAUCAAGAACCCAACUAGAAGAAGAGAAAAUCGUUAGAUUAGUUUCAAUAACGAGCAACUCAAACAUACCUUCAGAAGGCCCAUCCUUCUUCCUGCUCUUGACAGUUGCCAGG
This 202-nucleotide long non-coding RNA is filed under the name Elaeis guineensis (African oil palm). Its description in RNAcentral is "long non-coding RNA (EGUI_LNC034435)". Lineage: Eukaryota; Viridiplantae; Streptophyta; Magnoliopsida; Arecales; Arecaceae. The record is from RNAcentral.